RNAcentral lists this unclassified non-coding RNA (297 nucleotides) under fungal sp. RNAcentral's name for it is "partial internal transcribed spacer region". The stretch from base 1 to 46 matches the Rfam family "Eukaryotic small subunit ribosomal RNA", at positions 1786 to 1831 of the family's 1831-position model. The record is from RNAcentral. Lineage: Eukaryota; Fungi.
AAGUCGUAACAAGGUAUCCGUAGGUGAACCUGCGGAUGGAUCAUUAGCGAAUGGAACAUUCAUUUGUUCUUUCACAUCCACACAUACACCCUUGUGGUUUAUAGAGAAAGAAAAGGAUUUGCGAGUGUUGGGCGUGUGUUCGCCCGCCCGCCCGCUCGCUCGCAUCCGUCUAUAACAAACAAACCGUUUGAUCUUCUUUUCUAGUAUUUGGCAAUAAUGACACACACACGCGCACACUCGUUGUGCUGCUGCUGUGAUAACCCAAUACAACUGCUAGCAACGGAUCACUCGGCUCUC